AGUGAACGCUGGCGGUAGGCCUAACACAUGCAAGUCGAACGGCAGCACAGUAAGAGCUUGCUCUUACGGGUGGCGAGUGGCGGACGGGUGAGGAAUACAUCGGAAUCUACUUUUUCGUGGGGGAUAACGUAGGGAAACUUACGCUAAUACCGCAUACGACCUACGGGUGAAAGCAGGGGUUCUUCGGACCUUGCGCGAUUGAAUUAGCCGAUGUCGGAUUAGCUAGUUGGCGGGGUAAAGGCCCACCAAGGCGACGAUCCGUAGCUGGUCUGAGAGGAUGAUCAGCCACACUGGAACUGAGACACGGUCCAGACUCCUACGGGAGGCAGCAGUGGGGAAUAUUGGACAAUGGGCGCAAGCCUGAUGCAGCCAUACCGCGUGGGUGAAGAAGGCCUUCGGGUUGUAAAGCCCUUUUGUUGGGAAAGAAAAGCAGCAGGUUAAUACCCCGCUGUUCUGACGGUACCCAAAGAAUAAGCACCAGCUAACUUCGUG
Molecule: ribosomal RNA, 492 nt
Filed under: uncultured bacterium
Lineage: Bacteria
Description: partial 16S ribosomal RNA
Rfam family: Bacterial small subunit ribosomal RNA
Source: RNAcentral